UAGGUUAACGAGGCGAACCGGGGGAACUGAAACAUCUAAGUACCCCGAGGAAAAGAAAUCAACCGAGAUUCCCCCAGUAGCGGCGAGCGAACGGGGAGCAGCCCAGAGUCUGAAUCAGCUUGUGUGUUAGUGGAACGGUCUGGAAAGUCCGACGGUACAGGGUGAUAGUCCCGUACACCAAAAUGCACAGGCUGUGAACUCGAAGAGUAGGGCGGGACACGUGGUAUCCUGUCUGAAUAUGGGGGGACCAUCCUCCAAGGCUAAAUACUCCUGACUGACCGAUAGUGAACCAGUACCGUGAGGGAAAGGCGAAAAGAACCCCGGCGAGGGGAGUGAAAAAGAACCUGAAACCGUGUACGUACAAGCAGUGGGAGCACCUUCGGGUGUGACUGCGUACCUUUUGUAUAAUGGGUCAGCGACUUAUAUUCUGUAGCAAGGUUAACCGUAUAGGGGAGCCGCAGGGAAACCGAGUCUUAACUGGGCGUUAAGUUGCAGGGUAUAGACCCGAAACCCGGUGAUCUAGCCAUGGGCAGGUUGAAGGUUGGGUAACACUAACUGGAGGACCGAACCGACUAAUGUUGAAAAAUUAGCGGAUGACUUGUGGCUGGGGGUGAAAGGCCAAUCAAACCGGGAGAUAGCUGGUUCUCCCCGAAAGCUAUUUAGGUAGCGCCUCGUGAACUCAUCUUCGGGGGUAGAGCACUGUUUCGGCUAGGGGGUCAUCCCGACUUACCAACCCGAUGCAAACUACGAAUACCGAAGAAUGUUAUCACGGGAGACACACGGCGGGUGCUAACGUCCGUCGUGAAGAGGGAAACAACCCAGACCGCCAGCUAAGGUCCCAAAGUCAUGGUUAAGUGGGAAACGAUGUGGGAAGGCACAGACAGCCAGGAUGUUGGCUUAGAAGCAGCCAUCAUUUAAAGAAAGCGUAAUAGCUCACUGGUCGAGUCGGCCUGCGCGGAAGAUGUAACGGGGCUAAACCAUGCACCGAAGCUGCGGCAGCGACACUAUGUGUUGUUGGGUAGGGGAGCGUUCUGUAAGCCUGCGAAGGUGACCUGUGAGGG
Molecule: ribosomal RNA, 1061 nt
Filed under: Klebsiella pneumoniae
Lineage: Bacteria; Pseudomonadati; Pseudomonadota; Gammaproteobacteria; Enterobacterales; Enterobacteriaceae
Description: partial 23S ribosomal RNA
Rfam family: Bacterial large subunit ribosomal RNA
Source: RNAcentral